Molecule: long non-coding RNA, 498 nt
Organism: Rhipicephalus microplus (southern cattle tick)
Lineage: Eukaryota; Metazoa; Arthropoda; Arachnida; Ixodida; Ixodidae
Source: RefSeq, a predicted model, not a curated record
GUGGCAGUGGAGAGGCUGCGUUUUCUGUGUGUUUUGAUUCGUGUUUCGACUACUUUGGUGUGCUUGGUCGCUUCGGUGAGCGGAAUUACUUCAGCGAACGUGCAUCACGGAUAUCCGCUUAGGCUUGGAACCGCUGGUGGGUCUGUGAGCGAGGGAAGACAAAAGGAAAGGCAAACAUGGACAUCCAGCAACGAUCCAAGCAGUGACUACUCAUGGUGACGACCAGCGGGUGCUGUCCGCUGGCCUCGCAGGCGAUCUUUGCGAUGUCCCCGCGCUUGACGGACACAUCUGACGAGGACUUGCUGAUGCGUGGGGGAACUGCAGGGGAAAGAGAUGCGGCCGGCAUUUCGAUGACGACCGAGGACACCUACAAAAGUCCACAUUUUCGGCAAGUGUACUGAGGAAAACUCAACGGUCGACAGCAGCAGGCACAACAGUAGAGUGACGGCUUGAAAACACAUCGGCUUCGGAAACAGACGCCUGGUGACCAAAAGUUAC